GUCCCUCGAGGCCCUCAAGAAACUCGGGGAGACGGACGCUGGAACAAAAGUCACGGAAAGUGAGAUGAGCGCUCUAAUGAGGCACAGACCCAGCCACGAGGGGGCAUCGUGAAAAGAAUUCCGGGCCUCAGAGGAACAACACCUGAGCAUCGGGGCAGCGCAGGACUGAGGCCAAGGCCUUGCCUCCUGCGUGGGCCGGCCGGUCGCUGGGGAUCUGGAGCUGGAGGCGGGCGGGUAGGGCUGCCGUGCUGCUAACGGGGCUCGGACCCUGGGCUCUCCAGCGAGGCACAAGGGGACAAGGAUUCGAGCCCUGGUCUGGGAAGAUCCCACAUGCUGCGGAGCAAAUAAGCCCGUGCGCCACAACUACUGAGGCUGCACUCUAGAGCCCGCAAGCCACAGCUACUGAAGCCCGCGCGCCUAGAGCCCGUGCUCCACAACAAGAGAAGCCACUGCAAUGAGAAGCCCGCGCACCGCAACGAAGAGUAGCCCCCGCUCGCUGCAACUAGAGAAAAGCCCGCGCGCAGCAACGAAGACCCACCGCAGCCAAAAAUAAAAUAAAUAAAUAAAUAAAGUAGAAUGAGUUAAAAUUGGAAGCCACCAUUUGCAUUGUUAAUAUCUUCUGAACUGCAUCAUAAUUCAAAGCUCUUUGAGGGAACGUACGUGGCUAUUGGCUCUCAGUUUCAAAACGGCCAGUUAGAGCUCCUGCCCAUUCUAGCCCAUUCAUAAUGCUGAAACGUUCACGCCACUCUAGAAGACACUCGAACCAGCCCCUGGGCUCCAGCAGUCGCCAGGCCUCUUAGGGCGGGGGCACAGGGUGCUGCCUCAUCCUUGCUGUCAUCUAAGCCUCAGGCUACACACCCUGUCCUUCAGCAGGUUACUUCUGGGCCUUCCCCUAAGGAUGCAUCAUUAUCCCUCCCUGGCAUCUGAUCUCCAGCCAGAGGCAGCCUGAUCCUGGGCUAAGCCCCUCCUGCCAGGUGAGCUCCUCACCUCGGCCUCUUUCCAAUGCGGCAGCCCAGACCACGGCCUGUGUGGAGAGGGCGAGAGAGCCGUAGUCCCUCCACUCAGCCCCUGGGUGCAAGUCCUGGGUCAGCCUCCCGUGACCUUGGGCCAGGUCCUCCAUCUCCAGGCCUCAGAAAGUGGGAGUUGUGGGUGCCGACAGACCUGUGGUCUGCCAACCGCUGAACAGGUGUCCCAGGAGGAAAAGGAGACGAGCAUCUCUUGGAGCCAUUUAGCCCAUCACGACAGCUCCAAGAACAUUUGACAUCUGUGAAAUAACAUCAUUAGGUAAGUGUUAACUUUUCCCCACUGCUAGGCCCAGUGCUAGUAAAUGUACUGUGACGAGUAUAAUGUGUUUAUGAAAUGUGUAUAAUAAAUUAUCAGAAAGAGCUGCAUUUUUAAUAUUGCUUAAUAUAUCCAGUUUGCCUCUCAGCAGCCACAGGCUAUAUGGCAACCGCUUCCAUCGACUCAUCGUGCAUCAACUUACACGCUUCCCGGGCUGAGGCCCCGGCGUGGGCUGAGGAAGAGGCAGGGGGCGGCCAGAGUGGAUGGCUCCCCUGUCCCUUCCUGAUUUGCCCUCUGUCAUCUGGAAUCGAAAGAAAAAUGGGGCUUUGUUCACCAUCAGGCCCCCUGCAGGACACAGCCUGGAGCCUGUCACAGGGUACGUGCUCAAUAAAUAUUUGUUACAGUGUGGAUUCUUAGAGAAAUGAAUAGACAAGGGCCCCCAGAAGGCCCCUCUCCAUCAAACAGCAAGUGCUUGGAAUUUUUCCAUCAGCCCCUCGUUUGGGUUAAAAUUUCCUAUCAAUACAGAGAAACUUCUAUCAGCACAGCAAGCCCAGAGCUCCUCCAGUAAUCACGGAAGGGUGGAGACUGGGGGUACACGUUAGACCAGGGCCAGGGAGGGUCCUUCCUCCCAGGGCAAACGGACACCAGCCAGAAAUGCCAACCAAGGACGUCCAGCCAAGUGCAGGGUAGGGGUCAUUUCCUCGAAAUGCCUCUCACCUACUGGAAGGAAAGGCUUUAACUGGUGGCUCUCAGCCAGGAAAGAAGUCACAAUGCCUGAUGUGGGGUGUUUCAGACUCCCUGUUGGGCCCUUGCCAAAGCGCUCUAGAAAUUCCAGCCCUCCCCGCUGAGUGUUGCACAUUGAACGGUGUGGGGACAGCAAAACAGGUGAGAAUAUGAAACCGUUUGCACCUUCUAACCCAGCGAUUCUCAUAAAAAUAAUUGUGCACAAAAAUAAUCUAGGCGUGCUUGGUAAGACGCACCCUGAGUCUUCACGCACGUGUCUGAGUUAGUGGGUGUGAGGUAGGGGCCUGGAAUCUGCAUUAUUAGCAGGCAUCCGAGGGAUACAGGUACGUGGGCCGUCCUUUGAGGAGCCCACUUCUACCUUGUUGGACAGGGGCCUUGUAGUCUGUUGGGGAGGGAGGGGGAGGUCAGAAGCCUGUUAGGAGAAGCACGUGGGGGAGAAUCAAGAGUACAGGGUUCCAUGGACUUCCCUGGCGGUCCAGUGGUUAGGACUCCACGCUUCCACUUUAACGGGCACGGGUUCCGUCCCUGGUCAGGGAACUGAGAUCCCACAUGCUGCGCAGCGCAGCCGAAGAAAAGAGUGCGGGGUUCCUGAGGGCUGUGCGUCUACCCACUUAACUUUGCCAAGGACCAGUCCAGCUGCCGAGCCGCCCACCCCUGUGUGGGGAAUGGAAGGCAACAUGAUUGAUGGGGUCUGGACACGUCCAGCUGUUUAAAGAUCCCCACACAUGCCAGCCGGCACCCCAUCCUUGGCCAGUACGUUCACUUCUCAAGGCACUUUCCCCAGCGUCCUCUUCUGGUCCUGGCAGUGGACAGGAAAAGAAGGCAGCCAACUGCAUUUCACUGGUAGACUGAGGCAGGCAUAGGGCGUCCAACCAUGGUUUGCACCGGGAAGGCAGGGGCAAGAGAAUGACAGUUCACUGAGUGCCUCUUACGUGCCAGGCACUGGGCCAGACGCUUUAUAGGCAUCCGUACCUUCAUUUCUCACGAGGUUGUUCGUGGCCUCCCCCAUUCCACAGGUGACACUGCGGGCCUGAGUUAAGCAACUUGCCCCCAAUCAGACGCAGUUAGGAGGAGGGAGACACUGGCUUUUCAAUCUGUCUGCCUAACUCCCCUGCCCAGACUCUUUCUAGAAACUAGACACCUGCCCAGAUAACACCAAUUUUACCCCUCCAGGGGGCCCUACCCCAUCUCAGCUGGGCUCACAGCUGGAUGAAGUCAGACCGCAGAGUGGCCCUUGACUCUGCCACCUGCUGGAGGUGGGCCUCAGACAUGCCACGUGUUUCUCCAGUGGUCAUCCUGGCAUUCACUGACUGGAGGCUUUGGAGGCUGGGCCCUCCACUCCCACUUCUUCCAGACCCUCCCUAGAGCCAGCACCUGCAGAGCCACGAGCCGGGGGCUGACCUUCCCGAAAGCCAGACCCGCAGAAAGUCGAGAAGCCAGGAGGAAGCGGUCAGCCCCCUCUGUCCCCACCCCCGGUGAACACACGGGUAGAGCCUUGCCAUCAAAAGGGCACAGGACCAGGAUAUCCAGGCUCUCAUUCCCAGUCACUCGACCUCCUGAAGCUUCAGUUUCCCCGUCUGGAAGAUGGUGACAACACUCUCGUGCUCCUCAAGUGAAUGAAUUACGAAAUGAUGGUUCAGUGCCUGUAUUUUACUACCCCGUGUCAUUACAUAAUCGCUUUGUGAUGCAGCCACCUCUAGCACAGAUGUCACUCUGUGCCUAUUUAAGGACUAAUCCCCUUAAGCAUUCCUGGAAAUGGGAAACCCAUUCACUGUGUUAGGCUUCCAGGCUCUCCUGUCCCUCCCUUGGCCUUUGACUCUUGGAAGGCUGAAUUUCUCUCCUACCAGGAUCCCAGGUUGUCCUUAGGGAGCCCCCAGGCUGGUUCAUUCCCACUGUAACCCCUAAGACUCUUGGCCCCCUCUCUCUUCCUUCUCAGUUUGGGCUGUUCCCAGCCAAGAAGCCUCAGGAAGAGCUCUGGGGAGCAAGAUUUUACCUGUGUUUCCAGCUCUGCUCUCUAGGGGUGAGGAGGGAGAGGCAGGGAUGGGGGCGGUGGAAGCCUCCAAAAAGUCAGGACCCCAGCUCUGCCACCAGCCAGCAGGCACCUGGGCAAGUCACUGUGUCUGAGCUUUAAUUUCCUCACCUGCAAAAUGGGAACAUUGUACCCUGCCUACAUCGUGGGGCGAUAAAAGGAAUCAGUGAGAUAACAGCUGUUGAAGGCUCUUGACAGAGUAUACCGUAGGUUUCAAGGGUGGGUGGUGACCUUUACCAUCC
Physeter macrocephalus (sperm whale) is the source of this 4296-nucleotide long non-coding RNA. RefSeq lists it as uncharacterized. NCBI's taxonomy places the organism in Eukaryota, Metazoa, Chordata, Mammalia, Artiodactyla, Physeteridae. The transcript is spliced from 3 exons. The record is from RefSeq and is a predicted model, not a curated record.